RNAcentral lists this ribosomal RNA (377 nucleotides) under uncultured eukaryote. Its description in RNAcentral is "partial 18S ribosomal RNA". It matches the Rfam family "Eukaryotic small subunit ribosomal RNA", at positions 592 to 976 of the family's 1831-position model. The record is from RNAcentral.
CAAUAGCGUAUAUUAAAGUUGUUGCAGUUAAAAAGCUCGUAGUUGGAUUUCGGGGCAGCCUGGCUGGUCCGCCGCAAGGCGAGUACUGGUCAGCCGCCCUUCCUCUCGAAAGCCCCGACUGCUCUUCAUUGCAGUGGUCGGGUAGUUCGGGACGUUUACUUUGAAAAAAUUAGAGUGUUCAAGGCAGGCCUACGCCUGAAUACAUUAGCAUGGAAUAAUGGAAGAGGACCUCGGUCCUAUUUUGUUGGUUUCCAGGGCCGAAGUAAUGAUUAAGAGGGACAGUUGGGGGCAUUCGUAUUUAAUUGUCAGAGGUGAAAUUCUCGGAUUUAUGAAAGACGAACAACUGCGAAAGCAUUUACCAAGGAUGUUUUCAUUAA